RNAcentral lists this microRNA precursor (118 nucleotides) under Linum usitatissimum (flax). Its description in RNAcentral is "MIR828 microRNA precursor family". It matches the Rfam family "MIR828 microRNA precursor family". Lineage: Eukaryota; Viridiplantae; Streptophyta; Magnoliopsida; Malpighiales; Linaceae. The record is from Rfam by way of RNAcentral.
GUAAACGUUUCUUGCUCAAAUGAGUGUUCCAAAACCAGCAAGCGAUGGAGCAGUUCUGGGUUCAAAUACUCCAUCUGUUGUUUGCAUCUGAGAUGCUCAUUUGGGCAAGCAGUGUUUC